Molecule: ribosomal RNA, 253 nt
Filed under: uncultured bacterium
Lineage: Bacteria
Description: partial 16S ribosomal RNA
Rfam family: Bacterial small subunit ribosomal RNA
Source: RNAcentral
UACGGGGGGGGCAAGCGUUGUUCGGAAUUACUGGGCGUAAAGGGCCAGUAGGCGGCCAACUAAGUCCGACGUGAAAUCCCAAGGCUUAACCUUGGAACUGCGUCGGAUACUGGAUGGCUUGAAUUCGGGAGAGGGAUGCAGAAUUCCAGGUGUAGCGGUGAAAUGCGUAGAUAUCAGGAAGAACACCAAUGGCGAAAGCAGCUCUCUGGGACGGUACUGACGCUGAGACGCGAAAGCGUGGGGAGCGAACAGG